This 1102-nucleotide long non-coding RNA is filed under the name Felis catus (domestic cat). RNAcentral's name for it is "lncRNA (ENSFCAG00000048171.1)". Lineage: Eukaryota; Metazoa; Chordata; Mammalia; Carnivora; Felidae. The record is from RNAcentral.
CUGGGCGCGCAGCUGCCGCGGUUCUGCGGGACCCGGGCGGGCGCGGGCGAGCGCUGCGGAGCAGAUGGCGCCGGCGGGGGGGCGGCCGUUUGGCGUUCGUAGCACUUUCCUUCGCGCAUAUGUUACGGACGGGCGGGAGGAGAGGACGACCUCGAGCCCGCUGAGGCGGCCGGUUACUAGCCCUGGAUCUUAGCUCUGAACCCCAACUCUGACCCGCGUCCGUGGGGGAGGGGGUUGGUCGUGACGCAUCUGCCCAGCCUCUCGGUGACAACCACACGUUCCACUUGUCCUUCUCAUCAUAAAGCUACAAGAAUGGUCUUAGUCCCAUUUUACAGCUGGCAAACUGAGGUCCAAGAAGGAACUGACCAACAACGGGACCAGGACUAGAACUGGCGUUGGCUGACUCCUGCCUGAGUGCUUGGCUCCACAUGGGGACCACUGUGUCCCCAACCUAAGGGUCCCGUCAAAAAGAGUGAAACAAACACAACCAAACUGCCCUGCAGAGUAAAGGAUUUGGAGGAAGCAGGUGAAGAGCCCAGGAACAACAAGACAACGACAACAACAACAGCUUGGAAAGAAGUGCAAGGAGGAGGCAGAAAGACGGAUUCUGCCAAGAUGAGAAAGGGUAGUACCUGGAGGAGGAGAGAGCCUGGGAGACGUCCCUGGCAAUGGGCGCUGCUAAGAGACUGAAACAAAGGAAUGUCUAGUGUUCAACUUUAAGGGGUUUGCCAUUCGUGACUGCUGAAUCACUCGUAAAAAUUUCCCACACAUAACUCCUUGCCGGGGUUAUCAGAGGAAAGGAUGGACCAUCUCUCGUGUGGAAUGCAGGGCCAGGAAAGAAGAAGCCCAAUAGGACAAUGAUCCUGAUGGAGGCUGUCAGCCGCCCCUGGGAGGUCUUUGUUGAUAUUGAGCUCUGGAGGAGGAGAUGGUGGACGACACCUGACGGCAUAUGGGAGAAGCCAGGCUGUAUGGAGGGACUGGGAGAACACUAAACCGGGUCUGGUUUCUGAAUCUGCCUCCCAAGAACAAGACUGCAGGACAGAUAAGCCUUGCUUUCCUUCUAGCACAGCACACAGUAAGCUCAUGGGUCUGGCUUCCCUAU